GACGACCAAGGAGUUUAACUUGUAUACGGUCAUUGGGCUUUUACGAAACCCAAAGGCGUAAUGAAAGUGAAUGAGAACUUCUGGUUCUUUGAAGUGUGAUUCCGCAUUGCACAGCAUCUAGUGCUUGUGGACGCAACACUGGCCCGUCCCGUAAUGUAGUCGUAUAAAGUGCUUUGUCACUUGUGCGCAACAUUGGGGCGGAGCAAGAGUAUACAAGUUGAGACCCGAAAGAUGGUGAACUAUGCUUGCGUAGGUCGAAGCCAGAGGAAACUCUGGUGGAGGACCGUAGCGGUUUUGACGUGCAAAUCGAUCGUCAAACGUGAGUAUAGGGGCGAAAGACUAAUCGAACCAUCUAGUAGCUGGUUCCCUCCGAAGUUUCCCUCAGGAUAGCUGACAUUCAUUUCGCUAAACAGUUUUAUCCGGUAAAGCGAAUGAUUAGAGGUAUUGGGGAAAAAUUUUCCUCAACCUAUUCUCAAACUAUAAAUGGGUGAGAUGCUUGGCUCGCUUAAUUGGAGUCGUGCAUUGAAUGUGAAUGUCAAGUGGGCCAUUUUUGGUAAGCAGAACUGGCGCUGUGGGAUGAACCAAACGUUCAGUUAAGGUGCCUAACAUGGACGCUCAUGAGAAACCACAAAAGGUGUUGAUGCAUAUAGACAGCAGGACGGUGGCCAUAAAAGUUGGAAACCGCUAAGGAGUGUGUAACAACUCACCUGCCGAAUGCAUCAGCCCUGAAAAUGGAUGGCGCUUGAGCGUUAGACAUAUACUGAACUGUCACUGCAAGMUGGUUUAAGCCAGGCUUGGAUGAACGGUGACAAGUAGGAGGGUCUCCGUGGUGAGCGUUGAAGCUUAGCAUGUGAAUGCUGGUGGAGCCGCCACGGGUGCAGAUMUUGGUGGUAGUAGYAAUUAGUCAAGUGAG
This 913-nucleotide ribosomal RNA is filed under the name Neoheterocotyle rhinobatidis. Its description in RNAcentral is "eukaryotic LSU rRNA". It matches the Rfam family "Eukaryotic large subunit ribosomal RNA", at positions 665 to 1479 of the family's 3401-position model. The record is from RNAcentral. Lineage: Eukaryota; Metazoa; Platyhelminthes; Monogenea; Monocotylidea; Monocotylidae.